Molecule: ribosomal RNA, 511 nt
Filed under: uncultured Bacillus sp.
Lineage: Bacteria; Bacillati; Bacillota; Bacilli; Caryophanales; Bacillaceae
Description: partial 16S ribosomal RNA
Source: RNAcentral
CACGUAGUUAGCCGUGGCUUUCUGGUUAGGUACCGUCAAGGUACAAGUAGUUACUCUUGUACUUGUUCUUCCCUAACAACAGAGUUUUACGAUCCGAAAACCUUCAUCACUCACGCGGCGUUGCUCCGUCAGACUUUCGUCCAUUGCGGAAGAUUCCCUACUGCUGCCUCCCGUAGGAGUCUGGGCCGUGUCUCAGUCCCAGUGUGGCCGAUCACCCUCUCAGGUCGGCUACGCAUCGUUGCCUUGGUGAGCCGUUACCUCACCAACUAGCUAAUGCGCCGCGGGCCCAUCUGUAAGUGACAGCGUAAACCGUCUUUCAGCUUUUCUACAUGUGUAGAAAAGGAUUAUCCGGUAUUAGCUCCGGUUUCCCGAAGUUAUCCCAGUCUUACAGGCAGGUUGCCCACGUGUUACUCACCCGUCCGCCGCUAACUUUAAAAGCAAGUCUUUUAAAGUCCGCUCGACUUGCAUGUAUUAGGCACGCCGCAGCGUCGUCUGAGCAGGAUCGAACUCU